AAAUUGAAGAGUUUGAUCAUGGCUCAGAUUGAACGCUGGCGGCAGGCCUAACACAUGCAAGUCGAACGGUAACAGGAAACAGCUUGCUGUUUCGCUGACGAGUGGCGGACGGGUGAGUAAUGUCUGGGAAACUGCCUGAUGGAGGGGGAUAACUACUGGAAACGGUAGCUAAUACCGCAUAACGU
RNAcentral lists this ribosomal RNA (185 nucleotides) under Escherichia coli. RNAcentral describes it as "partial 16S ribosomal RNA". It matches the Rfam family "Bacterial small subunit ribosomal RNA", at positions 1 to 179 of the family's 1533-position model. RNAcentral also lists the same sequence under 1 other name. The record is from RNAcentral. Lineage: Bacteria; Pseudomonadati; Pseudomonadota; Gammaproteobacteria; Enterobacterales; Enterobacteriaceae.